GAAGUGUAAACAAAGACCUGCAGGAAGUAAAGGGGCUACAAGGGAUCCAUGGAAAGAGCAUUCCCAGAAGCGGGGCCAGGGCAGUGCGCACAGUGAGGAGAGCAGGUGUGUGUGAGGUUGAAACAAAACGUUCAAAGCCCCCUCGGAAGCCCAUCCACAGGUGUGUGACUGUGAACCGCAUCGUAAUCUCCUAGAAAGCAAGAACAUCAGGCUUACAUUUUCCACUUGCCUCUCACGGCUCAGAGCUCUGCAGUAUAUACACAAUGUCAGUGAAGAUGGAAAACAGAACGUGGAGAGAGAUGUAGCUUACUAGAGCCCUGUGGCUUCAAUCCCCACCAGGAAUGUCGUUUAAGAGGAAGGUGAUCUAGCACAAAUUCACAUUUGCUUGAGGAAGAAUACAAAUGACAUAUCACACACCAACCGUGUGCAAAGCACUCUACCUAAAGAUCAGCGCUAACAGAGGAAUAAGCAGAGGCCUCCAGGAGCAAAGAGUGAAAAGUCUCCCAAGGAUUCAAGUACGGGGGAAGUGGGUGGAGCUUUCACCGUAGAAUCUUUCCUGGAGAAAAAGCAAAGAGUGGGACAACAAUGAAGGCAUUAAAAAUAACUGUCAAGUUGAAGAAAAAAUCUGAAGUUUAUCAAUACAUGAUCUCCUCAAAAACGAAAGGAAUAAAACAAGUAUCUGCAAUUUGCUGAGAACUUAAUAUGUGUCAGUUGCCUGCAAAACUCAUCAUUCUUUAGACUUUCAAAUACAUCUGUGAGGACGGUAUUGUUGUUUCCACUUACACAUGAGAAGGCAAGAGACAAGCCCACGGUCACCCAGCUGGUAUUUUGCCAAAGACUAAGGAUUCGGAGAUGACUACGGAAAGGAAUAAGGAUUUUAUGAAAAUGCAUGUUUGUUGAAUAACACAAAGGAGAAUAUUAUCUAAUGUGGCUUGGGGUCAAUAUCAAGCAGUAAUAUUGUUUUAGUAUUAAUUAGAGCCGUGUCAUUGCAAGAGCUGGUAAGAAUACUGGUCUUGUUUCCAACUGAUGAAAACACUCAUACAGAUUAGGGUUUUUAUGAGUAAAUUUCAGAUCUUGAAAAAAAAAAAAAAAAAAAAAAAAAAAAAAA
This 1108-nucleotide long non-coding RNA is filed under the name Homo sapiens (human). Its description in RNAcentral is "LARGE antisense RNA 1, transcript variant 2 (LARGE-AS1)". The record is from RNAcentral. Lineage: Eukaryota; Metazoa; Chordata; Mammalia; Primates; Hominidae.